This 492-nucleotide ribosomal RNA is filed under the name uncultured bacterium. RNAcentral's name for it is "partial 16S ribosomal RNA". It matches the Rfam family "Bacterial small subunit ribosomal RNA", at positions 29 to 507 of the family's 1533-position model. The record is from RNAcentral.
AGUGAACGCUGGCGGUAGGCCUAACACAUGCAAGUCGAACGGCAGCACAGUAAGAGCUUGCUCUUACGGGUGGCGAGUGGCGGACGGGUGAGGAAUACAUCGGAAUCUACUUUUUCGUGGGGGAUAACGUAGGGAAACUUACGCUAAUACCGCAUACGACCUACGGGUGAAAGCAGGGGAUCUUCGGACCUUGCGCGAUUGAAUGAGCCGAUGUCGGAUUAGCUAGUUGGGGGGGUAAAGGCCCACCAAGGCGACGAUCCGUAGCUGGUCUGAGAGGAUGAUCAGCCACACUGGAACUGAGACACGGUCCAGACUCCUACGGGAGGCAGCAGUGGGGAAUAUUGGACAAUGGGCGCAAGCCUGAUCCAGCCAUACCGCGUGGGUGAAGAAGGCCUUCGGGUUGUAAAGCCCUUUUGUUGGGAAAGAAAAGCAGCAGGUGAAUACCCCGCUGUUCUGACGGUACCCAAAGAAUAAGCACCGGCUAACUUCGUG